GCCUGGCUGGCUCAGUGGUUGAGCACCUGCCUUCAGCCCAGGGCCUGAUCCUGGAGACCCGGGAUCGAGUCCUGCGUCGGGCU
Molecule: transfer RNA, 83 nt
Filed under: Canis lupus familiaris (dog)
Lineage: Eukaryota; Metazoa; Chordata; Mammalia; Carnivora; Canidae
Also listed under: 1 other name
Rfam family: tRNA
About the family: Transfer RNA (tRNA) molecules are approximately 80 nucleotides in length. Their secondary structure includes four short double-helical elements and three loops (D, anti-codon, and T loops). Further hydrogen bonds mediate the characteristic L-shaped molecular structure. tRNAs have two regions of fundamental functional importance: the anti-codon, which is responsible for specific mRNA codon recognition, and the 3' end, to which the tRNAs corresponding amino acid is attached (by aminoacyl-tRNA synthetases). tRNAs cope with the degeneracy of the genetic code in two manners: having more than one tRNA (with a specific anti-codon) for a particular amino acid; and 'wobble' base-pairing, i.e. permitting non-standard base-pairing at the 3rd anti-codon position.
Source: Rfam by way of RNAcentral